AGGAAAGAUAAUCGCACCCAGGUAGUCCAAGCUCUAAUUGCUUGCCUGGCAGAAUUGGAGACAUCCCUGAAAGUUUGGUUAAAAAAAAAAAAAGGUCUUGUGGAGGUGGGUGGUGGGAUGGGAAGCUAUUUCUUUGACAUGCCACUUACCACUAUUAGAAAAAGAGAAAAAGAAGCCAUCCUGCCAGAGGAAAUGCCUUUUAUUAAAGCUGACAAGACAAAUAGAUCAAGCUUUGCAGUUGUGAUGGUGUUAAAAGCAAGCCUCAUUAUGCUGGGCAAGAAAAAAUACAGACAGAUGUCGGAAUGUGGAAGCUGUGACCUCUGACCCACACAGCACGGCCACUGCCCUGGCACACAAGUGUCCUGAGCCACCAUGGGAGCAGGAUGCUUUUUUGAAGUGACUGACACUUGGAGAACCUGCCACUGCUUCUGUAGUGACUUGUAGUUCUCCACAGUGUCAGCCUUUUAGCUUCAGUGUUUAAGUUCCUCACCUUACCUUUUAUAAAAACUGUUUGUUUGGCUGAGCCAGCGCCUUCGUGACUUCUGGGCGGGUGCGGUAUCCCUGUAGUCACGAUCAGUCUUUGACUCCCGAUAAAUUUAUUCAUUGGGUUGGGAUGAUGGAGAGGGCUCAGAUGGAUGGUUCUGCUGCACCAACGUGUUCAGCUUUAUUAAGCUAAUAUAUAUAUAUAUAUAAAUAAAUAUAUGUAUUUUAUUAAAGACGGAUAAAAGGCCUUUUCUUUUAGUCUCUGCUCCGCAAUCUCGCUAGUAACCCCUGGGUUCAGACAGACCAUUAAUGUUUUAGAUGCGGUGGCAUUUGGUGUUUUCUUCAUAUAUUUGUUUACUGUUACAGCUUCAGUAUACUUUUAUGCCUAUUUUGGUAGUUUUCUGGCAGGGGUUCCGUUUAUUAAAAUGUAGUGACCCAGUACUAAGAGGGGAACAGUUCAAAUAGUGGUGCUUCGGACAGGGUUUUGUGUCAAACUAGAGAAAAUAAUAGGGAAAUGAAAGCUGCCAAAAUGUGUCUCCCAGUUACUAAUUAAUCAGGCGAGAAAGGACCUUGGUGACAGAUCUGGUGUCCGCCAUGACAGCAUUCGGGAAUGCUUUAUUUUAAAUACUGUAUAAAACAAAUUAAAGUAAGCCUCAAGGAAUGUAGCACCCAGAUAUUUGAUAUCACACGUACUAUUUUUUUUUUAAGUCUGUGCAAAGCAAAGUAAAAAACGGAAACUUUGUACUCUUCAUUGAUAGUAUCAAAGCAUAAAGCUGUU
Long non-coding RNA from Myotis davidii, 1261 nucleotides. RefSeq lists it as uncharacterized. The record is from RefSeq and is a predicted model, not a curated record. NCBI's taxonomy places the organism in Eukaryota, Metazoa, Chordata, Mammalia, Chiroptera, Vespertilionidae. The transcript has 2 exons.